This 253-nucleotide ribosomal RNA is filed under the name Bacteroides intestinalis DSM 17393. Its description in RNAcentral is "partial 16S ribosomal RNA". It matches the Rfam family "Bacterial small subunit ribosomal RNA", at positions 524 to 776 of the family's 1533-position model. The record is from RNAcentral. RNAcentral also lists the same sequence under 1 other name. Lineage: Bacteria; Pseudomonadati; Bacteroidota; Bacteroidia; Bacteroidales; Bacteroidaceae.
UACGGAGGAUCCAAGCGUUAUCCGGAUUUAUUGGGUUUAAAGGGAGCGUAGGCGGAUUAUUAAGUCAGUUGUGAAAGUUUGCGGCUCAACCGUAAAAUUGCAGUUGAUACUGGUAGUCUUGAGUGCAGCAGAGGUAGGCGGAAUUCGUGGUGUAGCGGUGAAAUGCUUAGAUAUCACGAAGAACUCCGAUUGCGAAGGCAGCUUACUGGACUGUAACUGACGCUGAUGCUCGAAAGUGUGGGUAUCAAACAGG